CUUCACAAACAGCCGGGGCCUGCCAGGGAGGGUGACAAUGAGCGCUGGAGAGGGUUUUCUCCCCCUGGUUGGUGUCUCUUCCCCCCUUCUCGCUGUGGUGGCAGAUUCUGGACAGUGUGCAGCCUGUGAGGUAAUCUGAAUUCCUUGGCAACUGGCAAGUACCUGAAUUCUUUCAAAACCACAGGAAUCCAGCAGAGAAAAGACCAUUUGUGAAGCACAGUGGCCUGAGAAUCUUCCACCUUAUUACCACUGCAUGAAAGCACAAUGUGAUCCUGGAUCCCAGCUGGGAAAGAGCUUGCUGUGGACCAACACUGAACCACUAGUCCCAGCAUGGGCAACAAGUGCUCUCAGAGGAACGGCCUCUCCGAGGUGAAGUAGGCCUGUGACCACCCCUGACGUGAGUCCCAGAGGAUGAACACCCCACUGCACGACCGGACCAGACUGAAAAGUCCAACAGGUUAGCAGAA
Capra hircus (goat) is the source of this 467-nucleotide long non-coding RNA. RefSeq lists it as uncharacterized. Lineage: Eukaryota; Metazoa; Chordata; Mammalia; Artiodactyla; Bovidae. The record is from RefSeq and is a predicted model, not a curated record. The transcript has 3 exons.